GGAGGCCACUUUUUGUUGUUGUUGUUGUUGUAGUAGUGGCAGUUUCAAUGGCCUCACUUGGCGCUUUUAAAAAAGACUCCGAUGCGAUAAAGGCACUCUACCACUUUUCUUUUAUAUUUCUAUUUUAAUUCAACUAUUUUAGUAUACUUUUAUGUCUUGUUAAUAGUUUCUAAGUGAAGAAUGAGUUUGUUAUUGCGGGUAAGUGACGGGCAAGUCUGGCAACCCGCAGAAGGCUGGCCACCUCUCACAGCUAACUUACGACGUAACAUCACAAAGUUUCGGUUGAAUAAUAUGAAAGGCCCAGUGAGUUAAGUCAGCAGCUUGGAACUUUGUUCUCAUCAUGGAACGUUUAAACGCCACGUUCUGGUACGGUUACAGUUUUAUCAACUGACUUAACUCGAUUUGACUGACUAACAUGGAUGUGUUGACUGGACGGCGUUAGCCGAGUCAGUUCAGAGCCCGAAGGGAGGACGGAAGGAAGGAAACUGAUAGGAAGGGUCGCUGUGCUCCGUUACAUUUACAAAAGCUAGUGCAGUUUUUGGUCACUGCUUGAGUUAACACCGUGGCGCAUAUAGAAUAUUAACUCCGUGGGAAGUCGGUGAGACUUUUAACAUUCUUUGCUAAAAAGAUAUGCUGCUAGCAGGCACCGCUAGUUUUCAAACACAGUCCUUGCCAGUUGUGCACAAGAGAGAGCUAGCACGUUAGCUUCAAACUUUUAGGAGGAGUUGUGUUAAUCCGAUUUGGUGACCUAUCAGAGUUGUUGACUGGAAAAACAGGCGCGUCUGUGUUUCACCGAAUGACACCCGGUGACUGGAGUCACAAACAACCCCAUGGCGUCGGAUGGGACUGAGAGUGAAGCCGUGCUCAAAGGUUUGAGUGAAGUCAACUUGAACAAUAGCAACCCUGAUUGUGUCACACCCAGUAAGACUCAUGAUGUGCUGGGGAGAAGACACACUUCCAGCCCCUCGUCGUCUGGGGUGUCUGGAGAAGGCGAGGAAGAGGAACUGGAUGUCUAUCAAUGCAGCACAGUAUCCACAGGUAAAAAUGGCGAAGAAACAACGCAGGCCGGAACAGUAACAGGAGUCGAGGCACAGGAAGGAACGAGUCCAGACAAUGAGCUGAAACAGCCUGCAGCGAGAAGCUCCACUCCUGUGAACCUGUCCCAGAAAAACCCAAUAUCUGGACCUAUGGGCAGUUUUGAGCGCCAGGAGUCGGUGGCCACGACCGAAGCCCGUUUACGGAUGGAAGGAGUAGAACUGAAGGAGGAAUGGCAGGAUGAGGACUUUCCACGGCCUCUGCCAGAGGAGGAAGAAGAGCUAGAAGAAGAGCUUUUUGCCGGAACGUCUGAAAAGGGAGACUCUGACUACACUAUCAGUCAUGGCAAGAAGGUAAAGAAAAAACUUGCAGCUCCAGACAUCAGCCUGACAUUGGACCACAGUGAGGGCUCUCUCCUGUCAGAAGAACUGGAUGAAAGUACAGAGUUGGACCUGGACGACAUUGACACACCAUCAGACAACAGCAACGAGUUUGAAUGGGAAGACGAUCUACCAAAACCAAAAAGCACAGAGCUGCUACAGAAAGGUGUGGAGUCGGUUCAGGAGUACUCAGCUUCUGAUGAGAGGGAGGAGGGCCGCCGCUGGAGGGUGUUUCGGUUUGCAGAUCAGGAACACAGAGUGGACAUGAAGGCCAUUGAACCUUACAAGAAGGUUAUCAGUCACGGAGGUUAUUAUGGUGAUGGUCUGAAUGCCAUAAUUGUCUUUGCUGUUUGCUUUAUGCCAGAGAGCAAUAAACCAAAUUACAGAUACAUCAUGGACAAUUUGUUCAAAUAUGUCAUUGGCACACUGGAACUGUUGGUCGCCGAAAACUAUAUGAUAGUGUAUUUAAACGGUGCGACCUCUCGGAAAAAGAUGCCGACAGUUGGCUGGCUCAGAAAGUGUUAUCAGCAGAUUGACAGAAGGUUAAGGAAGAACCUGAAGUCUUUGAUUAUUGUCCAUCCCUCUUGGUUUAUUCGAACCCUGCUGGCAUUAACCAAACCUUUCAUAAGCACUAAAUUUAGUCAAAAAAUCAAGUUUGUGUACAGCUUGACGGACCUUGCAACACUGGUUCCAAUGGAGUAUGUGUCCAUUCCUGAUUGUAUCAAGCACGAAUCAUCCUGAUAUUUCACAGAUACAUGCUGAGGAACACGGAUAGACCUGUCCCACUUCAUACAAGUGAUGAUGGCCGCACACCCGGGCAGGUCCAGGGAAAACUGCACUGGAAUGACCGGGUCAUGCAGCGAGUUCAUGCCUGAUUUGACUUCCCAGAGGACGAGUGACAGGAAGGUGGCUGCCAGGAGGAGACACAGUCUUACCAGAAAAAUAGAUGUACUACGACCUAACACCAACGCAGCCAUCUCGCUGUGGACAGACCACAUUUUUGCGAAGCUGGAGGACAUGGAGAAUGCACAAAUAAAGACUGGUUUAGACAAGUGCUCUCAUCCACAUCCUGGUCGGCAUCAUUGUCCUGCUCGUGGAUGAAGCUGUAGCGUCGAUACACCGAUCCACCUCUGCUGGUGUACACCACGUCCACCUCGUCCCCGCUAUCUGGCUCGGGCACGCCAUGGGGCAUGUUGACGCUGGCACUGCCUCUCAGUCUUUCAUAGCUUUGGCUCCAGCAAAACCUUUUCCGGGCAUGAGCUUUGACCGAGACGUAAACAGCCAGCGCCAGCCCGAGUGCCAGCAACAAGGAAACGGGUGCUGAAUAAGAGUACAAUGGAACAAAGCACCUUUUGCUAGGAGGGAGGAGACAGAGAGAACCCUGAAGAAAACCUGAUCCAUUUCAGGAGCGAUUCAUGAUCUUAUUUACCACGUGAGACUGAUGGCAAAAACCCUAGCCUGAAGCGGAUUAACCCCUCAUUAUCCCAUCCUACUUGGGAUCGUGUCAAGUAUUUUGCAAUAUCCAUGUACUGUCGCGCUUUUGGAAAAUAAAAACUACAGGUGAAACCUUGAAGGUACUUGGCGAUGUGGCAUGUCUGGCAUUCGUUCUCUCCCGGACCCUCACACGAGUGGCACUCUGGAUGGCAGCCCAUGCAGGUGAAUUGGUCAUCGUGCAGGUAGGUUCCAUCAGGACAAUCUGUGUCACCUGUCACUCCACAAAAUAACGUGUUUGGAUCCAGUACUAGUCCUUUCUUGCACUGAGUGCACUGAUUUGGAUCCGGUCCAGCACAGGUCGAACACGUCUGGUGGCAUUCUAAGAGGAAUGCCAAAAUAGCAAAGACUAAUCAGAAGAGAUAUCUCUUAAACUUUGACAAGAGGUCACAGAACACUCUGUGUUCCAUGUUGGAUAAUUUAGUGUUUAAUGCACAACAUCACGAACAUGUAACCAGGAAACAAAAACCAUACUGAAUUUCCCCCGUGUGGAAUGAAUAAAGACUUACCUUAUCUUAGGAAUUCAGUUAUUUGUGCAGAGUGCCGUCAACUUAGGCAUAAAAAUACAACAAAACAGGUACAUAACACAAUAAACGGAUAUGAUUGUGCAAAAAUAACUCAACUGAAAAAGUGGCUGAAGCAAAUUGUUGUGAAACCCAUACCACAUGAGAACUACAGAAUACAUAUUUGUAUUUACAGACAAUAGUUAAUUACAACAUAAUAGCCUUUGAUAUAUAAUAGAGACGCACGCAAUCACCUGCUCUGACCUGAAUCGAAAGUUGCACAACUGAGCUUUAAAUAGAACAAGUCAGUGCUAUUAUAAUCUUUUUGUUGCUCUCACGCUAACACCCCUAAAUUGUAGAAUUAAGGCCAGUAUUAGUGGUAAAAUGAGGUUGCCUCAGAACAAAUACAUUUUAUUUUCCUGGAAUUCAAUGGAUUAAACUGAAGAAACUACAGAUGAAAAUAUACAUGUUAUCAGGUUCUCAAUAGUAUUUCAAUUUGCGGGGGUGUGGAAACAAAAAAUAUGUCUGGGUGGGGCAGAAAAUAAUUAAGAAACACUGCCUUGAUGAGUGAUCAUAUACCGGUCCUGUGAGUGUCAGCUCUUUGGCUUUCUCCCACAUCGCAUUGUGUACACUUAAAACAAAAUAAUAUUUACCUGUCCCCUGGACAGGAUUAGAGAGAGAACAAGUGACUGAACUUUAUGUUAAAAUAAAUAUUAUUUUGAUGUUAGAAGAGACCUUUUUUUUAAAGGUCACAGGGUGGAGCCAUUCUCAGCAUUUCUCCACAACACAAACCACCACCUCUCUAUUUGAUAUAGAUCAUUUUUAGCUCAUACACGCUCUGUUUGUAUCAAGCACUGUGAGACACAGGUAUACUGUAGUUAUAAGCUGCCUGUUUUACUGAUUACAAAAAAAUUGCGGAAAAACCAAACAAAAAAAAAAUCUGUAAAAAUAAGUUAAUAUAAAACUAAGAAACAAGAGUUGUCAGAAUUGGACCAACGUUUACAUUACAAUUACUUUGUUGUGUCUAUUCUGUAAGUUGAAAGACAGAACAAUCGAUCAACUACUGAAUGUAAAAGUAUUAAAAAGGUAGGAAGGCACAGACAAAGACGGAAGUUUAAAAAAAGUUUCUUUUAAAUGUGAAAUACACCUUCAGAUCCCUGCCACUUAGUAUUCUAUGAUUACUGUUGUUGUAAGCUGAGUUACCGCUGCAGUAGGUUAACACCGUAGGUCAUUUAUUCAUCUACUAUUCCUUACAAACCUCCAGGUGGUAAUGGGAAAUGAUUCAAUUACUGCCCAGCCUCACUGAGCGCACGGUGGUACAUAAAGAAGUCCACGGCUGACCAAGUUGACUGACACAGUUGUCGUAGUUGACACAGAGUGGACUGUGGUUAGACGCGAGACUUAUUUUUUAUGUUGAGGACAAUAUCCUCACGACAGGUUUGAAAGUAUCAAAUACCUCGGUGGCUUUCCCGAAAGAGAGGAAGAACAUAAGGUUCUCGUACACAAACCUUUGACCUAUUAUCACUAAUCAAACUUUACAAAAUCAAAGUCAAACAUAAUUGGAGAGGAAACG
RNA transcript from Cynoglossus semilaevis (tongue sole), 4982 nucleotides. It is a transcript of the gene named BCL2 interacting protein 2, with no coding region annotated. The record is from RefSeq and is a predicted model, not a curated record. The transcript is spliced from 17 exons. Lineage: Eukaryota; Metazoa; Chordata; Actinopteri; Pleuronectiformes; Cynoglossidae.